RNAcentral lists this unclassified non-coding RNA (169 nucleotides) under plant metagenome. RNAcentral describes it as "partial contains small subunit ribosomal RNA, internal transcribed spacer 1, and 5.8S ribosomal RNA". The record is from RNAcentral.
UUUCCGUAGGUGAACCUGCGGAAGGAUCAUUAGUGAACGCCCUCACGGGCUUAUCCCUCGUCCACCCACCUGUGAACCGUUCCCUUCGGGGCUCUUUUACAACCAUGCUGUACUGAACGUCCUAUAUCAUAACCAAACAAACCUUUUAACAACGGAUCUCUUGGCUCUC